AUGAACAUUGAGAUGUCCUGUGCUAGCUCCCCAAGCUGGCAUAAGAUCAGAUUUUUUUUUUUUGCCCAGAAUUGUGGGACACGAUGGGAACCAGCAAGUCUGCACAGGAUCUUGAAGAUGCACUCAGCGUGAAAGGAGAGAAUUCCUGCAGGAAGCUGUGUGUCUCUGGUUCUGGCUAAUGUCGGAGUUUGGUUCCUAGAUGAGAUGAACCGCUAACUGGGGACAUGGCGAAGUGUGGAGAUACUCUACCCUUCCUCCACACCAGUAACCGAAUGUUGCAACACCUGUGGGAGACUUCAGGUUCAAGUUGCUUCUCUACUUCCUGGGAUCUGAACUCCAACAAGAGCGUUUUUAAUACAAGUCUCCAGGAUCUUUUGGGAAAAGGCGAGGUCAGUCUUCAUUUCUUGCACUGAAAUGGCUUCAAUUUGUCUAAAAGCAGCUCACGGAAGAUAAUUUUUAGCUCUCUCAGAUUCCUGGAAGAGCAGAAGAAUUACUGGCCCUUCACUUCACUGCUGGAAGCCAAAAUAAUCAUACUGUUAACCCUCAUCACCUUCACCCACCCAACAGAGUCAACAAAGCAAUACUAGGUGAAUCUUCCAGCUGUGUGGACCCAAUAUCAUUACUUUUGAAUGUUCACUGUCCUAACAUUUAAAAAUUUUUUUCAUUAUUUCCAUACCUACUGAA
Struthio camelus australis is the source of this 684-nucleotide long non-coding RNA. RefSeq lists it as uncharacterized. Lineage: Eukaryota; Metazoa; Chordata; Aves; Struthioniformes; Struthionidae. The record is from RefSeq and is a predicted model, not a curated record.